UGCUACUUUAGUUUCUUUUAAACACUCUUUCAUUUCGACUUGUUCAUGCACUAAUAAUUUUUCUUAUAAAACGUUAAGUUCAUUCUUUAAGUACAUUUGACAUUUUUUUCUUUCAUUAUUGCUUUGAUACAAUAGCCUAUUUGGUUUAUAUUAUUGUUUUAAUAUAAUAGCCUAUUCAGCUUACAUUAUUUAAGUUACUUUUCACUUUAAGUUCGAUUUAAUAAUCUUAUUAGCUUCAG
RNAcentral lists this long non-coding RNA (239 nucleotides) under Durio zibethinus. Its description in RNAcentral is "long non-coding RNA (DZIB_LNC000822)". Lineage: Eukaryota; Viridiplantae; Streptophyta; Magnoliopsida; Malvales; Malvaceae. The record is from RNAcentral.